RNAcentral lists this ribosomal RNA (460 nucleotides) under uncultured bacterium. Its description in RNAcentral is "partial 16S ribosomal RNA". It matches the Rfam family "Bacterial small subunit ribosomal RNA", at positions 338 to 795 of the family's 1533-position model. The record is from RNAcentral.
CCUACGGGAGGCAGCAGUGAGGAAUAUUGGUCAAUGGACGCAAGCCUGAACCAGCCAUGCCGCGUGGAGGAUGACGGCUCUACGAGUUGUAAACUGCUUUUGUAAGGGAGUAAACUACGGUACGUGUACCUGGUUGAAAGUAUCUUAUGAAUAAGGAUCGGCUAACUCCGUGCCAGCAGCCGCGGUAAUACGGAGGAUCCGAGCGUUAUCCGGAUUUAUUGGGUUUAAAGGGAGCGUAGUCGGGUUGGUAAGUCAGUGGUGAAAUGUUGGGGCUCAACCCCGAAACUGCAAUUGAUACUGUAGGUCUAGAGUACAGUUGGGGUAGGCGGAAUGCGUGGUGUAGCGGUGAAAUGCUUAGAUAUCAUGCAGAACACCGAUUGCGAAGGCAGCUUACUAAACUGUAACUGACGUUGAGGCACGAAAGCGUGGGUAGCAAACAGGAUUAGAUACCCGAGUAGUC